This 357-nucleotide unclassified non-coding RNA is filed under the name soil metagenome. RNAcentral's name for it is "partial contains 5.8S ribosomal RNA, internal transcribed spacer 2, and large subunit ribosomal RNA". The stretch from base 1 to 120 matches the Rfam family "5.8S ribosomal RNA", at positions 35 to 154 of the family's 154-position model. The record is from RNAcentral.
GAUGAAGAACGUAGCGAAAUGCGAUAAGUAAUGUGAAUUGCAGAAUUCAGUGAAUCAUCGAAUCUUUGAACGCACAUUGCGCCCGUCAGUAUUCUGGCGGGCAUGCCUGUUCGAGCGUCAUUACGCCCCUCAAGUCCCCUGUGGACUUGGUGUUGGGGAUCGGCGAGGCUGGUUUUCCAGCACAGCCGUCCCUUAAAUUAAUUGGCGGUCUCGCCGUGGCCCUCCUCUGCGCAGUAGUAAAACACUCGCAACAGGAGCCCGGCGCGGUCCACUGCCGUAAAACCCCCCAACUUUUUAUAGUUGACCUCGAAUCAGGUAGGACUACCUGCUGAACUUAAGCAUAUCAAUAGCGGAGGA